GCGGCGGCGGCGGUGAAAGGACGUUCGCCUAAUCAGCUCUUUUUGCUUACCCAGACUACCUGAAAACGGUUGCCGUGGCUACGGAAUCACAUCUUGACGUCACUGAGCCUGCGGAAGUGUUUACGUGUUUCCGGCGUCGACAUCGUACCUGGACACACGGGUGGCGGCGGCGGCGGUGAAAGGACGUUCGCCUAAUCAGCUCUUUUUGCUUACCCAGACUACCUGAAAACGGUUGCCGUGGCUACGGAAUCACAUCUUGACGUCACUGAGCCUGCGGAAGUGUUUACGUGUUUCCGGCGUCGACAUCGUACCUGGACACACGGGUGGCGGCGGCGGCGGUGAAAGGACGUUCGCCUAAUCAGCUCUUUUUGCUUACCCAGGUUGGUAAAUUCGCUUAUUUCUCAAUACCGCCUUACCGCCACCGCCGUUGCCACCGUGUUUCAGUGCUUUGCUGAGUUCUCUGUGCAUAAUGUGCCUUUUUCCUAAUUGAAUGCUCCCGAAUUGAGUGCGAACUGAGUGCUACUGUGAAUGCCUGGACAACGUACCAUGACAAGCACGUGCCAGUCUUGUGAUGAGCCCCUCCCCUGUGAUGGGCGUG
Rhipicephalus microplus (southern cattle tick) is the source of this 598-nucleotide long non-coding RNA. RefSeq lists it as uncharacterized. The record is from RefSeq and is a predicted model, not a curated record. Lineage: Eukaryota; Metazoa; Arthropoda; Arachnida; Ixodida; Ixodidae.